Molecule: ribosomal RNA, 1542 nt
Filed under: Escherichia coli
Lineage: Bacteria; Pseudomonadati; Pseudomonadota; Gammaproteobacteria; Enterobacterales; Enterobacteriaceae
Description: bacterial SSU rRNA
Rfam family: Bacterial small subunit ribosomal RNA
Source: RNAcentral
AAAUUGAAGAGUUUGAUCAUGGCUCAGAUUGAACGCUGGCGGCAGGCCUAACACAUGCAAGUCGAACGGUAACAGGAAGAAGCUUGCUUCUUUGCUGACGAGUGGCGGACGGGUGAGUAAUGUCUGGGAAACUGCCUGAUGGAGGGGGAUAACUACUGGAAACGGUAGCUAAUACCGCAUAACGUCGCAAGACCAAAGAGGGGGACCUUCGGGCCUCUUGCCAUCGGAUGUGCCCAGAUGGGAUUAGCUAGUAGGUGGGGUAACGGCUCACCUAGGCGACGAUCCCUAGCUGGUCUGAGAGGAUGACCAGCCACACUGGAACUGAGACACGGUCCAGACUCCUACGGGAGGCAGCAGUGGGGAAUAUUGCACAAUGGGCGCAAGCCUGAUGCAGCCAUGCCGCGUGUAUGAAGAAGGCCUUCGGGUUGUAAAGUACUUUCAGCGGGGAGGAAGGGAGUAAAGUUAAUACCUUUGCUCAUUGACGUUACCCGCAGAAGAAGCACCGGCUAACUCCGUGCCAGCAGCCGCGGUAAUACGGAGGGUGCAAGCGUUAAUCGGAAUUACUGGGCGUAAAGCGCACGCAGGCGGUUUGUUAAGUCAGAUGUGAAAUCCCCGGGCUCAACCUGGGAACUGCAUCUGAUACUGGCAAGCUUGAGUCUCGUAGAGGGGGGUAGAAUUCCAGGUGUAGCGGUGAAAUGCGUAGAGAUCUGGAGGAAUACCGGUGGCGAAGGCGGCCCCCUGGACGAAGACUGACGCUCAGGUGCGAAAGCGUGGGGAGCAAACAGGAUUAGAUACCCUGGUAGUCCACGCCGUAAACGAUGUCGACUUGGAGGUUGUGCCCUUGAGGCGUGGCUUCCGGAGCUAACGCGUUAAGUCGACCGCCUGGGGAGUACGGCCGCAAGGUUAAAACUCAAAUGAAUUGACGGGGGCCCGCACAAGCGGUGGAGCAUGUGGUUUAAUUCGAUGCAACGCGAAGAACCUUACCUGGUCUUGACAUCCACGGAAGUUUUCAGAGAUGAGAAUGUGCCUUCGGGAACCGUGAGACAGGUGCUGCAUGGCUGUCGUCAGCUCGUGUUGUGAAAUGUUGGGUUAAGUCCCGCAACGAGCGCAACCCUUAUCCUUUGUUGCCAGCGGUCCGGCCGGGAACUCAAAGGAGACUGCCAGUGAUAAACUGGAGGAAGGUGGGGAUGACGUCAAGUCAUCAUGGCCCUUACGACCAGGGCUACACACGUGCUACAAUGGCGCAUACAAAGAGAAGCGACCUCGCGAGAGCAAGCGGACCUCGUAAAGUGCGUCGUAGUCCGGAUUGGAGUCUGCAACUCGACUCCAUGAAGUCGGAAUCGCUAGUAAUCGUGGAUCAGAAUGCCACGGUGAAUACGUUCCCGGGCCUUGUACACACCGCCCGUCACACCAUGGGAGUGGGUUGCAAAAGAAGUAGGUAGCUUAACCUUCGGGAGGGCGCUUACCACUUUGUGAUUCAUGACUGGGGUGAAGUCGUAACAAGGUAACCGUAGGGGAACCUGCGGUUGGAUCACCUCCUUA